Molecule: ribosomal RNA, 500 nt
Filed under: uncultured bacterium
Lineage: Bacteria
Description: partial 16S ribosomal RNA
Rfam family: Bacterial small subunit ribosomal RNA
Source: RNAcentral
AUUGAACGCUGGCGGAAUGCUUUACACAUGCAAGUCGAACGGCAGCACGGACUUCGGUCUGGUGGCGAGUGGCGAACGGGUGAGUAAUGUAUCGGAACGUGCCCAGUCGUGGGGGAUAACGUAGUGAAAAUUACGCUAAUACCGCAUAAGAUCGAUGGAUGAAAGCGGGGGAUCGCAAGACCUCGCGCGAUUGGAAUGGACGAUAUCAGAUUAGGUAGUUGGUGGGGUAAAGGCACACCAAGCCAACGAUCGGUAGCUGGUCUGAGAGGACGACCAGCCACACUGGAACUGAGACACGGUCCAGACUCCUACGGGAGGCAGCAGUGGGGAAUUUUGGACAAUGGGCGAAAGCCUGAUCCAGCCAUUCCGCGUGCAGGAUGAAGGCCCUCGGGUUGUAAACUGCUUUUGUACAGAACGAAAAGGUUUCUACUAAUACUAGGAGCUCAUGACGGUACUGUAAGAAUAAGCCCCGGCUAACUACGUGCCAGCAGCCGCAGUAA